GUCUUUGUAGCUCAGUUGGUUAGAGCGUUGGUCUCAUAGAAAUAUGACCUGACCCUCCAGGGUUGGGAUAUCCAAAGGUCGUGAGUUCGAGUCUCACCGAGGACA
Hypoxylon crocopeplum is the source of this 105-nucleotide non-coding RNA. The record is from the annotation of a GenBank genome assembly. NCBI's taxonomy places the organism in Eukaryota, Fungi, Ascomycota, Sordariomycetes, Xylariales, Hypoxylaceae.